This 253-nucleotide ribosomal RNA is filed under the name uncultured bacterium. RNAcentral's name for it is "partial 16S ribosomal RNA". It matches the Rfam family "Bacterial small subunit ribosomal RNA", at positions 524 to 776 of the family's 1533-position model. The record is from RNAcentral.
UACGGAGGGGGCUAGCGUUGUUCGGAAUUACUGGGCGUAAAGCGCACGUAGGCGGCUUUGCAAGUUAGAGGUGAAAGCCCAGGGCUCAACUCCGGAAUUGCCUUUAAAACUGCAUCGCUAGAAUUGUGGAGAGGUAAGUGGAAUUCCGAGUGUAGAGGUGAAAUUCGUAGAUAUUCGGAAGAACACCAGUGGCGAAGGCGACUUGCUGGACACAUAUUGACGCUGAGGUGCGAAAGCGUGGGGAGCAAACAGG